Molecule: small nucleolar RNA, 145 nt
Organism: Acomys russatus (golden spiny mouse)
Lineage: Eukaryota; Metazoa; Chordata; Mammalia; Rodentia; Muridae
Product: small nucleolar RNA SNORA48
Exons: 1
Source: RefSeq, a predicted model, not a curated record
AUUCCUUGACAAUGGGAAUAGAGACACCUUGUUGGUGUUGGUGUUCUCAUAUCAGUCAGGACACAAUUGAUGGCAGUACUUUGUUUAUCCUAACUUGAUGCCUGGCUUUGUGGCCAAAGCUGUUUUAUGUGCCUAGGACAAAUAA